RNAcentral lists this ribosomal RNA (791 nucleotides) under uncultured archaeon. RNAcentral describes it as "bacterial SSU rRNA". It matches the Rfam family "Archaeal small subunit ribosomal RNA", at positions 90 to 859 of the family's 1478-position model. The record is from RNAcentral.
UCAGUAGCACGUGGCUAACCUGCCCUUGGGACGGAAACAACCCCGGGAAACUGGGGCCAAUUUCCGAUAGGUGAAGAUACCUGGAAUGGUUUUUUGCCCAAAAGACGUUUGGGUCAUGCUUCUAGACGUUGCCCAAGGAUGGGGCCGCGGCCGAUCAGGCUGUUGGUGAGGUAAUGGCUCACCAAACCUUUGACCGGUUCGGGCCGUGGGAGCGGUAGCCCGGAGAUGGGCACUGAGACAAGGGCCCAGGCCCUACGGGGCGCAGCAGUCGCGAAAACUUCGCAAUAAGCGAAAGCUUGACGGGGCCAUCCCGAGUGCCAUCUGCUGAGGAUGGCUUUUACCCAGUAUAGAUAGCUGGGGGAAUAAGGAGAGGGCAAGUCUGGUGUCAGCCCGCCGCGGUAAUACCAGCUCUCCGAGUUGUGGGGACGUUUAAUUGAGCCUGAAGCAUCCGUAGCCCGGCUGGGCUAGUCCCCUGUUAAAUCCAGCGAUAAAUCGUUGGCCUGCGGAGGGAUACUGCUCGGCUAGGGGGCCGGGAGAGGCCGUCGGUAUUCUUGGGGUAGGGGUGAAAUCCUAUAAUCCCAGGAGGACCACCAGUGGCGAAGGCUGUCGGCUAGAACGCGCUCGACGGUGAGGGAUGAAAGCUGGGGGAGCGAACCGGAUUAGAUACCCGGGUAGUCCCAGCUGUAAACGAUGCAGGCUAGGUGUUAGGGCGGCUACGUGCCGCUCUAGUGCCGCAGGGAAGCUUGUUAAGCCUGCCGCUUGGGGAGUACGGCCCGCAGGCUGAAACUUAA